AGUGCGCGGUUGUACAUACAACUGGCGCACGGCGCACGGGUGCGUACACGUGGGUCAUUUGCCCUCUGAUGGGGAAUAACUCGCCGAAAGGCGAGCUAAUACCGCAUAACAUUCCGGGAACUCCGGUUUCUGGAUUCAAAGGCGUAAGUCGUCGGAGGAGGAGCCCGCGCACGAUUAGCUAGUUGGUAGGGUAACGGCCUACCAAGGCUAUGAUCGUUAGCUGGUCUGAGAGGAUGGCCAGCCACACUGGAACUGAGACACGGUCCAGACUCCUACGGGAGGCAGCAGUGGGGAAUCUUGCACAAUGGGCGAAAGCCUGAUGCAGCGACGCCGCGUGGGGGAUGAAGCUUCUCGGAGUGUAAACCCCCUUCGACCCGGACGAAUGCCCCGCAAGGGGACUGACGGUACGGGUAUAAGAAGCCCCGGCUAACUACGUGCCAGCAGCCGCGGUAAG
This 454-nucleotide ribosomal RNA is filed under the name uncultured bacterium. Its description in RNAcentral is "bacterial SSU rRNA". It matches the Rfam family "Bacterial small subunit ribosomal RNA", at positions 65 to 524 of the family's 1533-position model. The record is from RNAcentral.